Molecule: ribosomal RNA, 253 nt
Filed under: uncultured bacterium
Lineage: Bacteria
Description: partial 16S ribosomal RNA
Rfam family: Bacterial small subunit ribosomal RNA
Source: RNAcentral
UACGUAGGGUCCGAGCGUUGUCCGGGAUUAUUGGGCGUAAAGGGCUCGUAGGCGGUUUGUCGCGUCGGGAGUGAAAACACGGGGCUUAACCCCGUGCCUGCUUCCGAUACGGGCAGACUAGAGGUAUGCAGGGGAGAACGGAAUUCCUGGUGUAGCGGUGAAAUGCGCAGAUAUCAGGAGGAACACCGGUGGCGAAGGCGGUUCUCUGGGCAUUACCUGACGCUGAGGAGCGAAAGUGUGGGGAGCGAACAGG